AGAGUUUGAUCCUGGCUCAGGAUAAACGCUGGCGGCGUGCCUAACACAUGCAAGUCGAACGCCCUUGCGCAAGCAAGGGAGUGGCGGACGGGUGAGGAACACGUGGAUAACCUGCCCUGCGGUGAGGAAUACCGGCGAGAAAUCGCCGACAAUACCGCAUGUGCUUGUGCAAACAAGUAAAGUCUCGCAAGAGACGCCAC
Molecule: ribosomal RNA, 200 nt
Filed under: uncultured bacterium
Lineage: Bacteria
Description: partial 16S ribosomal RNA
Rfam family: Bacterial small subunit ribosomal RNA
Source: RNAcentral